UCCCUGAUGGCUCAGUGGUAGAGAAUCCACCUGUCAAUGUAGGAGACACAGGUUCUAUCCCUGAUCUGGGAA
Molecule: transfer RNA, 72 nt
Filed under: Ovis aries (sheep)
Lineage: Eukaryota; Metazoa; Chordata; Mammalia; Artiodactyla; Bovidae
Rfam family: tRNA
About the family: Transfer RNA (tRNA) molecules are approximately 80 nucleotides in length.
Source: Rfam by way of RNAcentral